GAGUUUGAUCCUGGCUCAGGAUGAACGCUGGCGGUGCGCCUAACACAUGCAAGUCGAACGAAGGAUUGUGAAGGAACUUUACGGAGGGAAAACAUAAUGACUGAGUGGCGGACGGGUGAGUAACGCGUAGGGAACCUGGCCCUUACAGGGGGAUAACAGAUGGAAACAACUGCUAAUACCGCAUAAGCGCCCAGCCUCGCAUGAGGCAGAGUGAAAAACUAAGGUGGUAAGGGAUGGCCCUGCGUCCGAUUAGCUAGUUGGUAUGGUAACGGCAUACCAAGGCGACGAUCGGUAGCCGGCCUGAGGGGGUGGACGGCCACAUUGGGACUGAGACACGGCCCAAACUCCUACGGGAGGCAGCAGUGGGGGAUAUUGCACAAUGGGGGAAACCCUGAUGCAGCGACACCGCGUGGGUGAAGAAGCGCUUCGGCGUGUAAAGCCCUAUCAGUGGGGAAGAAAAAGGACGGUACCCAAAGAAGAAGCACCGGCUAAAUACGUGCCAGCAGCCGCGGUAAUACGUAUGGUGCAAGCGUUAUCCGGAAUGACUGGGUGUAAAGGGAGCGUAGACGGUUGUACAAGUCUGAUGUGAAAGCCCACGGCUCAACUGUGGGAGUGCAUUGGAAACUGUAGAACUAGAGUAUCGGAGAGGCAAGUGGAAUUCCUAGUGUAGCGGUGAAAUGCGUAGAUAUUAGGAGGAACACCAGUGGCGAAGGCGGCUUGCUGGACGAAAACUGACGUU
Molecule: ribosomal RNA, 739 nt
Filed under: uncultured bacterium
Lineage: Bacteria
Description: bacterial SSU rRNA
Rfam family: Bacterial small subunit ribosomal RNA
Source: RNAcentral